GACCGGUGAAGUCAACUAUCAAUCGGAUUUCAGAGACGGAUACGAAGGCGGGGCCUAGCGGGUUCCGUUCGACGCUGGAUAGGCGGAGCUGAAAAGGAGAGGAAGAUGGCGGAGUGAGAAGCUGCGGUUCCCGCUGCGGCCGCGGCUGCGGCUGCCGGGAGCCCGCGGUGGCCGGGGUUGACCAGCCCUGGUCAGCGGCCGGCUAGUCUUGACAGCUCAGGUUCCUUAUCCUAGACACAACAAUUUUCUUGUGGUAUUUAUGUUGUCGUCAUCUUGAAUGGAAAACGGAAUCCAUAGCUCAGGAUUUAGUAGGUUCUUUAGAAGGAAAAAGACAUUCAUUUGAAUCAUUCUAUCCUUCACUGUUUUCUCAGGUGAUCCUGCUUCUUUUAUGUAACUGCAGUCCUUGGUCUUGACAUGUGGAUCUAUCUCCUCUCUACUUAACUCCAUGGACCAGAAUGGAAAAAAUUUCUUCACUUCAUGUUCCACUUCUCAAAUACAGCACAUUUAGCUUGUUAGGUGGCUUCUUCCUUGGUGCCAUUUAGCUGGCAUCAUGCCAAUUCAUCCAGGAAAAAAGAGGCAAUUGAUGUUGGUACUCAGCAGCAGAGAGAAAGGAUUUUUUUUUCAAAUGAAGCAUAAUAUUUAGAUUGCUGUCAGGCGUUUAUAUAAAGCUUUUCAAGAAUACACAGUAAGAAGUCAAAAUGUGUGCUGGGGCUAUUUGUAUCCUGUUUGAACUAGCAUAAAAUUACACAUAUGCAUAAUUACAGCAGAAAAUCUUAUAUUUCAAUACAAGAAAGUACAUUUCAGAUCUGAAUCCUAAUUAAUUCCAUUACACAGAUUUCUUAAUCCAGAACAAAGGGCCAACUUUGUAGAUACUCCUGUGAUGUGGUGGUAAGUAAAGCAGCUUAUGUACAGUACAAUGUCCCUGCAUUUUUUAUGUGUAUGAAGAAAACAUGUUCUUUGAACCAAGAUAUUUCUGCAUGGGUAUAUCCACAUUUAUCAGUGAGAAGAAAGAUUUCUUCCAAGAACAAAGUCUGGCUGCAUUGCCUCUUCCCCUGGUGACACUUGGUUGCUUCAUACCAUUUUAAGAUGUUUUUCCAUUUUCACAAGAAAGGAGCAGGUUGUACAGAAACAGACCUCAUGAAUGCAUUCCUGGGUCCAUUGGAAAACAGUUUUCAUUGACUUUUGACUAAACAAAGAACAAAAAGUUUUGAUGUUAACAAGAAUGGGGGCUCUCUUGUGCAUAUAUAUGGCUUGCUGUCACCUUUUUUCCUUGUGGAGUGUUACGGGACAUUCUGGAGUUGGCUUUUCAUACUUUUGUGCCCAAGAGUGAAGUGGAACAAGGCAUCUGCAUUGGAUACUCAGAAUACCAGAUCAAACCUAUAGUUGGCUAUGAAUAUGGCAGAAUGGAAAAAGAGUGGGAGUAGAAAAGAAAAUUUUUUUCCCCAUACAACUUCAGCCUGAGAGACAAAAAGCAGAAAUACUUUGUGUGGCUUGAUUGGACUGACAUAUUUACAUGACAUUCUGUAUCUUCAUCCCUUGCAGUGUCAUGGGAACAUUAUCCUUCAAUUCAAGAUGGCUAUGAGAGUGAUAUCCAUGGGUGAAACUGAAGCAUCCCACCAGAGAGUGGGCCUCAAUAUAAUGUCCAUCAGCGUUGGCUUGAGGCAAGGUGAACUGAGAUCUGGAAGAAAUUUAGCAAUUACAUUCCAUCCCCCAUCCUCCCUGGCCCCCCCCAAAUUUCACAAAGUAGUUUCAUAUCUAGAUUAGGCAACAAAUAUGGAAUAGCUUGUUUUCCUCUUAAUAAGGGGGAAAAACCCAACACUACCCUUGGGAGCUGAAAUCCUUCCUUGCUCCUGUACCUGAGAUGCACAGCAGAGUUUGGGAUGACAUGUUACUAGUAGAGGAGAACAUCUACCCUCUUUUAUUUGUUAUCUUACAUUACUAGAGAAAUCAAUGUAAAACUUGUCAAAUAUUAAGACCAUACAUUGCAUCUUUGUGUUUCUGGGAAUGUGCACAUCCAGAGCCCUGUUAUGAUGCUGGAGUAAAGAUAAACAGCCUGGAUUUGGACUGCUGUGCCCAAGUAGAAUUUUGUUAAAGACAAGAAUUGCCAAAAUGGAAAGUUAUUCUUUGAUGAAUAGUAGUUCUUAGCCAAUGGGAGUAUCUUUUCGGGGAAAAAAGAUUUAGAUAAAGUAUGAUUUUAAAAGGGUAAUAAUUAAGAUUGGCUAGCAGUAAAGUACACCAUUCUCAAAGUCUUGGUGCAGUUUUAAGUUUUAAUAGCUUAAAGCUCUAAGACUUUUGGGAUACCAUGUAUAAGUUAGUCAUGUCUUUUGAAAGUUGUGUGUUUAUAGUAGUUAGAAAUCUUUUACUUCAGUUAGUCAGACCUCCCAGUCAUUUGUUUGUUUUUUCAUUUGUUACUACUACUCUAAAGAUAAAGACCAGUGUUGUUGGGGAAACUCCUUACUAAAGGGGUCACUACGGGUGCCACCAAGAUGUUGAGAAAGAUUUUAAAUCUUGUUUCUCUGCCA
Long non-coding RNA from Phascolarctos cinereus (koala), 2522 nucleotides. RefSeq lists it as uncharacterized. NCBI's taxonomy places the organism in Eukaryota, Metazoa, Chordata, Mammalia, Diprotodontia, Phascolarctidae. The record is from RefSeq and is a predicted model, not a curated record.